Long non-coding RNA from Apis cerana (Asiatic honeybee), 784 nucleotides. RefSeq lists it as uncharacterized. NCBI's taxonomy places the organism in Eukaryota, Metazoa, Arthropoda, Insecta, Hymenoptera, Apidae. The record is from RefSeq and is a predicted model, not a curated record.
ACGCUUUCUCGAUCGCUUUCCGGAUCGAAGUGAGAUCCGUUCUUCAAGAAGUGGAGAUUGGAUUGCAGAAUCCUUGGAGAAAAGGACGCGUGUUAGUUGCGUAAGCAGCUAUCGAUUUCACUCGCGAUGCAAAGCAUCGCGAUACACAAGUGCAAUCGUUGAGGGCAAUGGCUUUUCUGCGCGGAAAAUCGAGAACGGUGAAAUUAUGAUCACUUGAAUUCUACGAAUUCCGAUGGAAAGAUCAAGGAACCUCAACAGCCUCGCCCACGAAAUCGAGUUUACAACAACAUCGAGUUGGCAUUCGUGACGAAUGCUUGAGUGAGAAUUCACCGUUUAUCGAUGCAGAGAAGAUCGAGUGGAUGCCAAAGAAAUAUCAAUGCCUGUCAAACCAUUGAAUUCGGAAUGAUAGUGGGGCGAAGAAAAUUGUAGCGCGAUAAAGCGAUCUCCUUGUUUCGCGAAUUGGAUUUCUCAAUGGAGAACGUGACGCGUUAAGAGAGACAAUUGGCACGAGGAAUAAUAGAUAUUGCGAUAUUUUUAAAAAGAGAAAUUCAAGGGAUAUAAAUUCUUGUAUGAAUUUUUAAACGUCUUGCAUUGUUUAGACUAGUGUUUCCCAAUCAUUUUUGCUUUAUAUUCCAAUUCUCGAAGAUUUUUGUUAUAUAAAAAACUUUGUUCUAAUCAAAUUAAUUAAUCAAAUUCUUAAAGAUAAUUUAAAUGUUUUAUUCUUCAAAUAUUUUUAUUUAGCAUUUAUGAUUUAUUAUGAUUUAAUAAAAUCAGUAAACAGAAA